Molecule: ribosomal RNA, 415 nt
Filed under: uncultured bacterium
Lineage: Bacteria
Description: bacterial SSU rRNA
Rfam family: Bacterial small subunit ribosomal RNA
Source: RNAcentral
AGUAACGCGUAUGCAACCUACCUAUCAGAGGGGAAUAACCCGGCGAAAGUCGGACUAAUACCGCAUAAAACAGGGGCACCGCAUGGUGAUAUUUGUUAAAGAAAUUCGCUGAUAGAUGGGCAUGCGUUCCAUUAGGUAGUUGGUGAGGUAACGGCUCACCAAGCCGACGAUGGAUAGGGGAACUGAGAGGUUGGUCCCCCCACACUGGUACUGAGACACGGACCAGACUCCUACGGGAGGCAGCAGUGAGGAAUAUUGGUCAAUGGGGCGGGAGCCUGAACCAGCCAAGUCGCGUGAAGGAAGAAGGAUCUAUGGUUACGUAAACUUCUUUUGCGAGGGGAAUAAAGUGCAGGACGUGUCCUGUUUUGUAUGUACCCUGAGAAUAAGGAUCGGCUAACUCCGUGCCAGCAGCCGC